Molecule: ribosomal RNA, 453 nt
Filed under: uncultured bacterium
Lineage: Bacteria
Description: bacterial SSU rRNA
Rfam family: Bacterial small subunit ribosomal RNA
Source: RNAcentral
UACGGGAGGCAGCAGUGGGGAAUAUUGCACAAUGGGCGCAAGCCUGAUGCAGCCAUGCCGCGUGUAUGAAAAAGGCCUUCGGGUUGUAAAGUACUUUCAGUCGUGAGGAAGGUGUUAAGGUUAAUAACCUUAGCAAUUGACGUUAGCGACAGAAGAAGCACCGGCUAACUCCGUGCCAGCAGCCGCGGUAAUACGGAGGGUGCGAGCGUUAAUCGGAAUUACUGGGCGUAAAGGGCACGCAGGCGGUUAAUUAAGUUGGAUGUGAAAUCCCCGGGCUUAACCUGGGAAUGACAUUCAAGACUGGUUAGCUAGAGUCUUGUAGAGGGGGUAGAAUUCCAUGUGUAGCGGUGAAAUGCGUAGAGAUGUGGAGGAAUACCGGUGGCGAAGGCGGCCCCUGGACAAAGACUGACGCUCAUGUGCGAAAGCGUGGGGAGCAAACAGGGAUUAGAUACC